CAGCAGCCGCGGGAAUACGGAGGGUGCAAGCGUUAAUCGGAAUUACUGGGCGUAAAGUGUGCGUAGGCGGUUCGUUAAGUCUGUUGUGAAAGCCCCGGGCUCAACCUGGGAAUGGCAAUGGAUACUGGCGAGCUAGAGUGUGUCAGAGGAUGGUGGAAUUCCCGGUGUAGCGGUGAAAUGCGUAGAUAUCGGAAGGAACACCUGUGGCGAAAGCGGCUCACUGGACCAUUUCUGACGCUGAUGCACGAAAGCUAGGGGAGCAAACAGGAUUAGAUACCCCGGUAGUCCCUGUCUCUUAUAU
This 301-nucleotide ribosomal RNA is filed under the name uncultured bacterium. Its description in RNAcentral is "partial 16S ribosomal RNA". It matches the Rfam family "Bacterial small subunit ribosomal RNA", at positions 509 to 809 of the family's 1533-position model. The record is from RNAcentral.